Gossypium arboreum is the source of this 381-nucleotide long non-coding RNA. RefSeq lists it as uncharacterized. The record is from RefSeq and is a predicted model, not a curated record. Lineage: Eukaryota; Viridiplantae; Streptophyta; Magnoliopsida; Malvales; Malvaceae. The transcript is spliced from 4 exons.
AGUGUACUCAUCAUCUUAGUUUUACCUUUCUUUAUUAUCUUCAUCUUCUUGUUAUCUCUUUUACCCCAACAAGCAUUUUAAAGGUCAACUAGAAUUCUAAUACACACUAUUGAGAAUAUUGGAAAACUAGGGUGAAAAUGGAGAAGCAAAGGAAAGAUGGAGAGGCAGAGGCAGUCCCAAUAGUGAUAGAUGGCAUGGUUUUGGACAUUCAAGCCACUUCUUCAAUUCCUCCACAUCCAAGAACCACUUGUCUUGGCCAGAAAUUUGUUGUUGGAGCAUUGGAAAUCUGCAAGACUAUGGACAGAAGAUCAAGAACCCGAAGACAAACGUGAAAAAGAGAAAUUAGCUUAAUGGCCCCUGAAUUACUACAACUUCCACAAU